This 1573-nucleotide long non-coding RNA is filed under the name Gallus gallus (chicken). The record is from RNAcentral. Lineage: Eukaryota; Metazoa; Chordata; Aves; Galliformes; Phasianidae.
CAGGGUCCUGAAUAUUAAGUGUUAGUAAUUUGAUCCAGUACUUUAGGGGAACACACACAUACAGUUACAAUGCAUAGCUUAAGCAGUAUUUUUUUUAAAAAAAGACAAAAAACAUAAAACAUUGUACACAUUUUUUCAAUCCUCAGUUUUAUAUGAAAGAAGACUUAUUUUAAAGGGCAAAAAUAAAAAAAAAAUAAAAAUCAAAAACUCAAACCAACCAAUCAGAAACCCCCAACCAAAUGAGCUCUUGUUUAUCUCCAAAGCUUUACAGGCUUCUGUGCAAUUUAUUUGUAAAUUUCUGUCACUCAAAACCAGUGAAGCUCAAUAUCAGAUCCAUAAGCAUCUCAUACAGACCUGCAGCAGUCCUCCUUUCAAAUCAAUGUACAUUUUUGGAAUAGAUUGCUCUGGGCCAGGAUCACCGCUGUGCUUACACCACUUGGCUUCCACUGUAACCGAGCAGCAAAACGGGCCGAUCAGAGACCUGGUUCUUUCUUUGAGACAUGUUUUAAGCAGGAAAUCUUUUAUGUCCAGGACAAGACAUGAUCCAUGGAUUCCUGAAAAGAGAGACAGAGACUUUAUCCUGCUGGUAGUGUCUCCAAAUUUUCGUGAUUGUUGUCUGGAUUCGCUUCAGGUUGAGACUGUGAAUGCAAACCAGUAAGAAAUUUCUCAUACAAGCACUCCCACAACAUCCAUGGAAUUAUCUGUGUGGACAACUGCUCUCCCGUCCAAGCAAGAGAAUCACAGUUGGACAAGAAAACGUGGGACUUUUUGUUCAGCUUGCUCAUCCAGCAUUAUUGCAUAUACUUUAUGCAGUGUUGCAGUUAUGGAGCAGCCAUCUCCAGUGAUAAUCAAGAACGCCAGCACUCCAUGAUGCCACUCCUUUUGGUCUGAGUUUGGACUUUAUUCUGCAAAACUGGUGAGUGUAUCAGCCUCACAUACAGUCUUACGCCAAGAAAAAGGCAUUUUAAGGAACUGCUAUGCUCAGUCUGGUUAUUUAGAGGCAUUGCAGUAUUUGGAAAUACAUUUUUUUAAUAAAAUCUACAUGAAACUUUGGUUUUAAAGUGGAGAAAUUCUCAGCAACUAUUGCACAAUUCUGCAAUAUAUAGAAAUGUUCUAUACUUCUACUGGAGUAUAUGCCAAGUUGCAGAAAUAACAAAAAGGAAAAAGGAAUGCCAUAAUACAAGUGGUUUUAUUUAUGUUUUCUUUCACUGGGAUUACACUUGGAAGGAUUAUGUUUUGCAGUCUUCUGCAGUCAUCUCCACGAAGUACAAAGAAAACACAAUAUCCAACAGCUUAACUACAAAAUUGAGCAUUCAGCACAUAAUCCUGCUGCUUCAAAAUCAGCAGUGCAGUUCUCAAACACUGUGUAAACAAGUGAGAAAUGAAGAUGCAAUUAAGAAGAAGUUAAUAAUACACAUUACAAACACCUCCACAGCCUGAGUUCUACAAAUUUCAGGUAAAGCUCACAGACCCAGUGAGAGACUUCUUUUCUCACUGGGAUAAGAUUGCUCUUCAAAGCAAUUCUACCUACUUGUACUUUGGAGAACAAAGUGAAUCUUAGUAUCAAGUUUUC